UUGUCCAGCUGCAGAGCUCUGCAAACCCCCUAUAUCCAGCAUGAUUGGGUGGGCACAACCUGGACGCACAGAAAACCUGUCUUUUUAGGAGGGAGACGCAAAGAUUAGGUGUUUUAAUCCCUUAAAGGCUUGACAGGACACU
Molecule: small nucleolar RNA, 142 nt
Filed under: Leptobrachium leishanense (Leishan spiny toad)
Lineage: Eukaryota; Metazoa; Chordata; Amphibia; Anura; Megophryidae
Description: Small Cajal body specific RNA 11 (ENSLLEG00000012177.1)
Rfam family: Small Cajal body specific RNA 11
About the family: scaRNAs are a specific class of small nuclear RNAs which localise to the Cajal bodies and guide the modification of RNA polymerase II transcribed spliceosomal RNAs U1, U2, U4, U5 and U12. ACA57 belongs to the H/ACA box class of guide RNAs as it has the predicted hairpin-hinge-hairpin-tail structure, conserved H/ACA-box motifs and is found associated with GAR1.
Source: Rfam by way of RNAcentral